UGACAGUACUCCUACGGGGAGGCAGCAGUGGGGAAUAUUGCACAAUGGGCGCAAGCCUGAUGCAGCCAUGCCGCGUGUGUGAAGAAGGCCUUCGGGUUGUAAAGCACUUUCAGUCGUGAGGAAGGUAGUGUAGUUAAUAGCUGCAUUAUUUGACGUUAGCGACAGAAGAAGCACCGGCUAACUCCGUGCCAGCAGCCGCGGUAAUACGGAGGGUGCGAGCGUUAAUCGGAAUUACUGGGCGUAAAGCGCAUGCAGGUGGUUUGUUAAGUCAGAUGUGAAAGCCCGGGGCGUCAACCUCGGAAUAGCAUUUGAAACUGGCAGACUAGAGUACUGUAGAGGGGGGUAGGAAUUUCAGGUGUAGCGGUGAAAUGCGUAGAGAUCUGAAGGAAUACCGGUGGCGAAGGCGGCCCCCUGGACAGAUACUGACACUCAGAUGCGAAAGCGUGGGGAGCAAACAGGAUUAGAUACCCUGGUAG
RNAcentral lists this ribosomal RNA (476 nucleotides) under uncultured bacterium. RNAcentral describes it as "bacterial SSU rRNA". It matches the Rfam family "Bacterial small subunit ribosomal RNA", at positions 328 to 793 of the family's 1533-position model. The record is from RNAcentral.